UAUCAGUAAGCGGAGGAAAAGAAACUAACCAGGAUUCCCCCAGUAACGGCGAGUGAACGGGGAAUAGCCCAGCAUCGAAGCCUACGGUCAAUUGACUGUAAGGCACUGUGAUGUUACGGGUUGUGCCUGGGGCUGCUGAUUAACUUGAAGUCCAAUAUUGAAAGUGGCUGUAGUGAUACUGCCCAUAGCGGGUGAUAGGCCCGUGCAAGUUAAUCGUUAGAAUUGUGAAGCAGCCUCUAGAUGCACAAUCUGUGGAGUCGGAUUGCUUGAGAGUGCAGUCCAAAGUUGGUGGUAAACUCCAUCAAAGGCUAAAUACUGGCAUGAGUCCGAUAGCGAACAAGUACCGUGAGGGAAAGUUGAAAAGUACUCUGAAGAGAGAGUAAAUAGUACGUGAAACCACAUAGAGGUAAACGGGUGGAGUCCAGCUGCGUGCGCAGAGGAUUUUGCUGGUGUGUGCUAGUGUAAGCGGUGAACUGCCGUGCUUAGCUUGUCAACAAUGACGCUUGAGGCUUCGGUCUCAUUCAUGUUCUAUCGGGUAGAUAGCAUGAGCUUUGCACGUGUGUUCGUUUGCAUGCCAGUGACCUUCCUUUGCGCUGACAUCACAAUCAAUAGAACUGCUAGUAUGUCAUGACCACACCGUCAGAUGGCGAGCCUUGGUGUUCACCUCUGUCGGCAUGGCAGGUGGCUUGCAUGUCGCGCUUGCGUGGCAUGUGGGUUUAACUAUGGCUGCGGCCUGCCGGUCAUGAUUUUAGUGUUUGACUAUGCAGUGUAUUGGUCACAGUGUGUGUAUGCGCCCCCAGUUGUGCGUGUGUGUGGCUAGGACCAUGCUGAGUUAUGUCCCAAAAGGCGUGCUUGGUGUGGCGCUUGGUCGGAGCAUGCACAACGAUGGGUGUUUCGCGUGAAUUGUGGUGUUGUGGUAGACGUUCCACCUGA
RNAcentral lists this ribosomal RNA (933 nucleotides) under Leptocotyle minor. RNAcentral describes it as "eukaryotic LSU rRNA". It matches the Rfam family "Eukaryotic large subunit ribosomal RNA", at positions 41 to 647 of the family's 3401-position model. The record is from RNAcentral. Lineage: Eukaryota; Metazoa; Platyhelminthes; Monogenea; Monocotylidea; Microbothriidae.